Molecule: long non-coding RNA, 1054 nt
Organism: Ictalurus punctatus (channel catfish)
Lineage: Eukaryota; Metazoa; Chordata; Actinopteri; Siluriformes; Ictaluridae
Source: Ensembl
UUAAACAUAAGAGCAUGAACUUGUUUUAAAGCAUUCCAUAACAUUAAAUGCAACUAUAAAUUGAUUUUAGUAUACUGUGUUGUACUUCAAUAAAUGAAAAAUGUAAAUGUUGACAAAUUGCUGUUGUGAAAGAGAAAUAAAACACUUCUGGAUUUGUUGUUAUAGGAAAAUAAUUAACAUGUGUUGGAACAGCAAUUCCAUUUCAUCAGUGAGUAUUUUAUUUGGUUUGUUUUGGUGUGUUUUAGUGUGUAUCAGUAUGGAUUAGUGUAUAAUACUGUGUGCUGGUGUGUAUCUUUGUGUGUUGGUGUGUAUAGGUAUGUGUUGUUGUGUGUUGGUGUCUAUAGAUGUUUGUUGUUGGGUGCUGGUGUGUAUAGGUGUGUGUCAGUGUGUAUAGGUGUGUGUUGUGGUGUAAUAUUGUGUGUUAGUGUGUAUGGAUGUGUGUUGAUGUGUGUUGGUGUGUAUAGGUGUAUAUUGCGGUGGAAUACUGUGUGUUAGUGUGUAUGGAUGUGUGUUGGUGUGUAUAGCUGUGUGUUGGGGUGGAAUACUGUGUGUUAGUGUGUAUGGAUGUGUGUUGGUGUGUAUAGCUGUGUGUUGGGGUGGAAUACUGUGUGUUAGUGUGUAUGGAUGUGUGUUGGUGUGUAUAGGUGUGUGUUGGGGUGGAAUACUGUGUGUUAGUGUGUAUGGAUGUGUGUUGGUGUGUGUUGGGGUGGAAUACUGUGUGUUAGUGUGUAUGGAUGUGUGUUGGUGUGUAUAACUGUGUGUUGGGGUGGAAUACUGUGUGUUAGUGUGUAUGGAUGUGUGUUGGUGUGUAUAGCUGUGUGUUGGGGUGGAAUACUGUGUGUUAGUGUGUAUGGAUGUGUGUUGGUGUGUAUAGGUGUGUGUUGGGGUGGAAUACUAUGUGUUAGUGUGUAUGGAUGUGUGUUGGUGUGUAUAGGUGUGUGUUGGGGUGGAAUACUGUGUGUUAGUGUGUAUGGAUGUGUGUUGGUGUGUAUAGGUGUGUGUUGGGGUGGAAUACUGUGUGUUAGUGUGUAUGGAUGUGUGUUGGUGUGUGUUG